CCCUACGGGGCGCGGUUCACUGGGCUAUGCGAUGACUGAUGCGCGUCAUGCGAGACAUGUCGUUGCGAUCACUGACAACCUUGUCGACUACCCGCUUAAUCCCAGGAUAUCCAUACCGCAGUAUCUUGUAGACAGUAUUGUUUGUAUUGAAAGCCUGGGAGAUCCGAAGAAGAUUGCGACCGGGGCUGCAAGGAUAACAAGGAAUCCGGUAGACCUUAAGAUCGCCAAAGAUUCUUUCCGCCUGAUGAAAGCCUCCGGCAUACUGGAGCCCGGUUUCUCUUUCCAGAUGGGUGUGGGAGGGGCAAGCCUGGCUGUCGCAAAAUACCUUGCGGAGCACAUGAGGGAGAAGGGUAUUCGGGGCAGCUUCGGAAUUGGCGGGGGGGC
RNAcentral lists this ribosomal RNA (384 nucleotides) under uncultured prokaryote. RNAcentral describes it as "partial 16S ribosomal RNA". The record is from RNAcentral.